Molecule: long non-coding RNA, 183 nt
Organism: Melanotaenia boesemani (Boeseman's rainbowfish)
Lineage: Eukaryota; Metazoa; Chordata; Actinopteri; Atheriniformes; Melanotaeniidae
Exons: 3
Source: RefSeq, a predicted model, not a curated record
CAGGAAGUAAAAAGAAGAAGGAAGAAAACACAGCUGAUCCUGAGGAUGGUGUUUUGUACGCCUCCAUCAGCUUCAUGGAUCAGACCAGACAAAGAGAACAGGUUUCUGACACUGUGACCUACAGCACUGUGGAAGCUUCGUCCUCUUCUACUGGAGUUUCUAUUGAUCCAAACAGCCUCUACU